Molecule: long non-coding RNA, 254 nt
Organism: Coturnix japonica (Japanese quail)
Lineage: Eukaryota; Metazoa; Chordata; Aves; Galliformes; Phasianidae
Source: RefSeq, a predicted model, not a curated record
AUGUCUCUUCAAUAUAGAAUGCUUUUUUAGGAAGGAGAGCUGUGUAGCUAGAGUGCUUUUUCCCCAGCUUGAAUCUUUUCAGAAUCGGAUGGCUUUACACUCAAUAAAAAGCAAAGCUGGUGUGAAGAAAGUGACAAGAUGGCAGUGAAUUUUGUGUCAAUGGCAUGUGGAAUUUCCUUUGGUCAGUUCAUAUCAUCAUGUUGUAUAGACAGCAGCUCUCCAGACAGCACAGCAGCUCUGCUUCAUGGCUUCAG